This 418-nucleotide ribosomal RNA is filed under the name uncultured bacterium. RNAcentral's name for it is "bacterial SSU rRNA". It matches the Rfam family "Bacterial small subunit ribosomal RNA", at positions 355 to 787 of the family's 1533-position model. The record is from RNAcentral.
UGGGGAAUAUUGCACAAUGGGCGAAAGCCUGAUGCAGCAACGCCGCGUGAAGGAAGAAGGGUUUCGGCUCGUAAACUUCUAUCAACAGGGACGAAGGAAGUGACGGUACCUGAAUAAGAAGCCCCGGCUAACUACGUGCCAGCAGCCGCGGCAAUACGUAGGGGGCAAGCGUUAUCCGGAAUUACUGGGUGUAAAGGGUGAGUAGGCGGCAUGGUAAGCCAGAUGUGAAAGCCUUGGGCUUAACCCGAGGAUUGCAUUUGGAACUAUCAAGCUAGAGUACAGGAGAGGAAAGCGGAAUUCCUAGUGUAGCGGUGAAAUGCGUAGAUAUUAGGAAGAACACCAGUGGCGAAGGCGGCUUUCUGGACUGAAACUGACGCUGAGGCACGAAAGCGUGGGGAGCGAACAGGAUUAGAUACCC